This 71-nucleotide transfer RNA is filed under the name Candidatus Azambacteria bacterium RIFCSPLOWO2_02_FULL_42_10. Its description in RNAcentral is "tRNA-Gln". It matches the Rfam family "tRNA". From Rfam's summary of the family: Transfer RNA (tRNA) molecules are approximately 80 nucleotides in length. Their secondary structure includes four short double-helical elements and three loops (D, anti-codon, and T loops). The record is from RNAcentral. RNAcentral also lists the same sequence under 7 other names. Lineage: Bacteria; Candidatus Azamiibacteriota.
UCGGGGAUCGUCUAAUGGUAGGACAGAGGCCUUUGAAGCCUUCAAUUGGGGUUCGAAUCCCUAUCCCCGAG